Molecule: long non-coding RNA, 2288 nt
Filed under: Monodelphis domestica (gray short-tailed opossum)
Lineage: Eukaryota; Metazoa; Chordata; Mammalia; Didelphimorphia; Didelphidae
Description: lncRNA (ENSMODG00000044559.1)
Source: RNAcentral
GAAAUGAUGAACUGGAGGAAUCUCAUGUGAACUGGAACAACCUCCAGGAAUUAAUGCAGAGCGAGAGGAGCAGAACCAGGAGAACAUUGUACACAGAGACUGACACACUGUGGUACAAUCAAAUGUAAUGGACUUCUCUACCAGCAGCAAUGCAGUAACCCAAGACAAUUCUGAGGGACUUUUUAGAAAAAAUGUGAUCCACAUCCAGAGGAAGAACUGUGAAAAAAGAAAGAGCUGGAAAGAUCUACAUGAACUGAAGCAGAGAGAAAUAAGUAGAACCAGGAGAACAUCAUACACAGUAACAGCAAUAUUGUGGAAAGAUCAACUGUGAUUGACUUAGCUAUUAUCGCCACUACAAUGAUCCAGGACAAUUCUUUGGGACUAAUGACAAAGAAUGCUAUCCACCUCCAGAGAAAGAACUAUUGGAGUCAGGAUGCAAAUGAAGGCAUACAAUUUUUCCAUUGUUUAUUAGGGUGUGUGUUUUGGGGUUUUGUUUUUAUAAGAUUUCUCACUUACAAAAGUGAAUAUGGACAUGUGUUUUGCAUGAUAAUACAUGUAUAACCCAGAUAAAAUCACCUGCCAGCACCAGGUCAGGGAAGUGAAGGAAGAGAAAUAAGUUUAGUCAUAUUUGAGAGAGAGAGAAAAAAAAGAAGAAGAAGGGAGGGAGGGAGAGAGAGAAAGAGAAGAAGGAGAGAGAGAAAGAGAGAGAGAGAGAGAGAGAGAGAGAGAGAGAGAGAGAGAGAGAGAGAGAGAGAGAGAGAGGAAGGAAGAGAGAGAAGAAGGAAGGGAGAGAAAGAGAGAAGGGGUAGAGAGAGAGAGAGAGAAAGAAAGAUGCUAAAAAAGUAAAAUUAUUCCUUAGUAGCUCAUUUCCCUGGAAGAUCACCCUCAUCAACUACCUCAUGUCAUUUUAAGUUUUAGUAAUGCCUUUUGAUUUUCACACUACAAUCAUUUCCCAAUAUAGUGUACACUCCACUAUCCCACCCACACAGACCCCUCCCUGGGCAAAACCUACCAAGGUACAGCAUAGGUAGUCUUCCACCCCUGCAUCCUCCCAUCUCUGUACCAAGAAGAAGGAAUUCUAUUUCAUCAUUUGUCCUGCGAGGCCACUAUUAAUCAUUAUAAAAUGUAUAUAUGCACAUAUAUUCCUUUCAUACACACACACACAUAUAUAUGAAAUAUCUGAGACCAGAUUUGCCCGAUCUAGCUCUCUCUCUGCUGAGCCACCUAGCUGCCCUGAUCAUAUUGAAUCUGGAUUCAGCUGUCACUUUGUAAUAAUGGAAAUUGGGGCUGAGGGGUAAAGACACUUGUCUGUAGGCAGAAUGGGGGCUUGAGCCAAUGACUUCAAACCCAAAAUCCAGCCACAAUUCUGCUCUCCCUUUUUUUUUUAACCUUCAUGAAGAACAAUCGUAGAGAACUUUUUCAAAUACCCUAUAAGCUUAUCUCGCUAAGAAAAGGACAAAUACACAGUUCAUUAUUUCACAGAGAGUAACCACCAACUCUCACUGGCGAUCUGCCCACCAAAAAGAGAUGCUUGAUAGAUUAUCAACUUUACAAAUAUAGGGUAUAUAUCCGGUAUGAUGAGAUUGUGGGCAAGCAUGCUAAUGGGCUUAAUUGCUAUACCACAGAGGCAUUGCUAAAUGAAAAAACAUCUGCCCAAGUAAGAGUUAGAUCUGUGCCAUAUUUGUACAUAGCGUCAUCAUUCAUUUCACUGUGAGCCAUAUGGGCUCCCAAAACUAAGUAAGCCCUUCAAACUAAGUCCUAAAUCUAACCUCUUUUCUUCUGCACAAUGGGCAUCUCAUUUCUUAGUUAAAAUGUAGACUUCCAACUAUAUAUUUUAGGCUCCAUGGAAUAUCAUCUGUGUUUUUAUUCCCAAAGGUCUGUGCCUCAUCUAGCUAUCCAAAUCCAGGCCUGAAAUUAAUAAGCUUUUUUUUUUCUUUUAAAACCCUCAUCUUCUUUUUUUAGAAUCAAUACUCAAGUGACUUGUCUAGGGUCACACAGCUAGGAAGUGUCUGAGGCAAGAUUUUGAACCUAGGACCUCCCAUCUCUAGGUCUGACUCUCAAUCCACUAAGCCACUCAGCUGCUCCUUCAUAAGUUUUUUGAUGAACAAGAAUGAUUAAACUUUUUUCUUUAUGGUCCCAGAGAACAAGUAGAUAGUAUUUUGUAGGUAGACUGGCCCUGGAUAUCCAGUCAUCACUAUCCAAUAGGAAAACUGGUAAAUUAGUGAGUUCUCUCUUUUAGAAGGGACAAAGGUAAAAUAAAACUCUUUAAGAGUUUUGUGUCCUUCUCA